RNAcentral lists this ribosomal RNA (207 nucleotides) under uncultured Inquilinus sp. RNAcentral describes it as "partial 16S ribosomal RNA". It matches the Rfam family "Bacterial small subunit ribosomal RNA", at positions 568 to 774 of the family's 1533-position model. Lineage: Bacteria; Pseudomonadati; Pseudomonadota; Alphaproteobacteria; Rhodospirillales; Rhodospirillaceae. The record is from RNAcentral.
CGCGUAGGCGGUAUGUCGCGUCAGGUGUGAAAGCCCCGGGCUCAACCUGGGAUGUGCACUUGAUACGGGCAUGCUUGAGUUCGAGAGAGGUGAGUGGAAUUCCCAGUGUAGAGGUGAAAUUCGUAGAUAUUGGGAAGAACACCAGCGGCGAAGGCGGCUCACUGGCUCGAAACUGACGCUGAGGCGCGAAAGCGUGGGGAGCAAACA